Molecule: ribosomal RNA, 253 nt
Filed under: uncultured Helicobacteraceae bacterium
Lineage: Bacteria; Pseudomonadati; Campylobacterota; Epsilonproteobacteria; Campylobacterales; Helicobacteraceae
Description: partial 16S ribosomal RNA
Rfam family: Bacterial small subunit ribosomal RNA
Source: RNAcentral
UACGUAGGUGGCAAGCGUUGUCCGGAUUUACUGGGUGUAAAGGGCGUGUAGGCGGGCUGACAAGUCAGAUGUGAAAUUCCGGGGCUCAACCCCGGACCUGCAUUUGAAACUGUUAUUCUAGAGUAUGGGAGAGGUAGGUGGAAUUCUUGGUGUAGGGGUUAAAUCCGUAGAGAUCAAGAGGAAUACUCAUUGCGAAGGCGACCUGCUAGAACAUAACUGACGCUGAUGCGCGAAAGCGUGGGGAGCAAACAGG